This 73-nucleotide transfer RNA is filed under the name Sodalis sp. CWE. RNAcentral's name for it is "tRNA-Thr". It matches the Rfam family "tRNA". From Rfam's summary of the family: Transfer RNA (tRNA) molecules are approximately 80 nucleotides in length. Their secondary structure includes four short double-helical elements and three loops (D, anti-codon, and T loops). The record is from RNAcentral. Lineage: Bacteria; Pseudomonadati; Pseudomonadota; Gammaproteobacteria; Enterobacterales; Bruguierivoracaceae.
GCCGGCAUAGCUUAAUUGGUAGAGCAACUGACUUGUAAUUAGUAGAUCGAAGGUUCGAAUCCUUCUGCCGGCA